RNAcentral lists this transfer RNA (74 nucleotides) under Felis catus (domestic cat). It matches the Rfam family "tRNA". From Rfam's summary of the family: Transfer RNA (tRNA) molecules are approximately 80 nucleotides in length. Their secondary structure includes four short double-helical elements and three loops (D, anti-codon, and T loops). Further hydrogen bonds mediate the characteristic L-shaped molecular structure. tRNAs have two regions of fundamental functional importance: the anti-codon, which is responsible for specific mRNA codon recognition, and the 3' end, to which the tRNAs corresponding amino acid is attached (by aminoacyl-tRNA synthetases). tRNAs cope with the degeneracy of the genetic code in two manners: having more than one tRNA (with a specific anti-codon) for a particular amino acid; and 'wobble' base-pairing, i.e. permitting non-standard base-pairing at the 3rd anti-codon position. The record is from Rfam by way of RNAcentral. Lineage: Eukaryota; Metazoa; Chordata; Mammalia; Carnivora; Felidae.
GCUCAGUUGCCUGAGGGUCUGACUGCUGCUCAGGUCAUGAUCUCAGUUUGUGGGUUCAAGUCCCGCAUUGGGCU